AUUGAACGCUGGCGGCAGGCUUAACACAUGCAAGUCGAGCGGAGAGAGGUAGCUUGCUACUGAUCUUAGCGGCGGACGGGUGAGUAAUGCUUAGGAAUCUGCCUAUUAGUGGGGGACAACAUUUCGAAAGGAAUGCUAAUACCGCAUACGUCCUACGGGAGAAAGCAGGGGAUCACUUGUGACCUUGCGCUAAUAGAUGAGCCUACGUCGGAUUAGCUAGUUGGUGGGGUAAAAGCCUACCAAGGCGACGAUCCGUAGCGGGUCUGAGAGGAUGAUCCGCCACACUGGGACUGAGACACGGCCCAGACUCCUACGGGAGGCAGCAGUGGGUAAUAUUGGACAAUGGGGGGAACCCUGAUCCAGCCAUGCCGCGUGUGUGAAGAAGGCCUUAUGGUUGUAAAGCACUUUAAGCGAGGAGGAGGCUCUUUUGGUUAAUACCCAAGAUGAGUGGACGUUACUCGCAGAAUAAGCACCGGCUAACUCUGUGCCAGCAGCCGCCGCAG
RNAcentral lists this ribosomal RNA (503 nucleotides) under uncultured bacterium. Its description in RNAcentral is "partial 16S ribosomal RNA". It matches the Rfam family "Bacterial small subunit ribosomal RNA", at positions 30 to 523 of the family's 1533-position model. The record is from RNAcentral.